Molecule: ribosomal RNA, 253 nt
Filed under: uncultured bacterium
Lineage: Bacteria
Description: partial 16S ribosomal RNA
Rfam family: Bacterial small subunit ribosomal RNA
Source: RNAcentral
UACGAAGGGAGCUAGCGUUGUUCGGAAUUACUGGGCGUAAAGGGCGUGUAGGCGGUAUCAUAAGUCAGAUGUGAAAGCCCCAGGCUUAACCUGGGAGGUGCAUUUGAUACUGUGGAACUAGAGAUCGAGAGAGGAAAGUGGAAUUACGAGUGUAGAGGUGAAAUUCGUAGAUAUUCGUAAGAACACCAGUGGCGAAGGCGGCUUUCUGGCUCGAUACUGACGCUAAGGCGCGAAAGCGUGGGGAGCAAACAGG